RNAcentral lists this unclassified non-coding RNA (323 nucleotides) under plant metagenome. Its description in RNAcentral is "partial contains 5.8S ribosomal RNA, internal transcribed spacer 2, and large subunit ribosomal RNA". The stretch from base 1 to 105 matches the Rfam family "5.8S ribosomal RNA", at positions 50 to 154 of the family's 154-position model. The record is from RNAcentral.
GAAAUGCGAUAAGUAAUGUGAAUUGCAGAAUUCCGUGAAUCAUCGAAUCUUUGAACGCACAUUGCGCCCUCUGGUAUUCCGGGGGGCAUGCCUGUCCGAGCGUCAUUGCGAACCCCUCAAGCACGGCUUGUGUGAUGGGCCUCUCACGUCUUGAUACCAAGACGGGUCCGAAAAGCAGUGGCGGCGUCGCGGUGAUCCGCUAAGCCAGAGCGUAUGGGGACGCUACAGUCACACGCUCGCGGCGCGGACCGGCGCUGGCCGACCCCCCUAACCAUUCUACGGUUUGACCUCGGAUCAGGUAGGGAUACCCGCUUAACUUAAGC